GAUGAACGCUAGCGGCAGGCUUAAUACAUGCAAGUCGUGGGGCAGCAUGAGUAGCAAUACUUGAUGGCGACCGGCAAACGGGUGAGGAACACGUACACAACCUUCCUUCAAGCGGGGAAUAGCCCAGAGAAAUUUGGAUUAAUACCCCAUAAUAUAUUUGAUAAGGCAUCUUAUUAAUAUUAAAGCUUCGGCACUUGAUGAUGGGUGUGCGGCUGAUUAGAUAGUUGGCGGGGUAACGGCCCACCAAGUCUACGAUCAGUAGCUGAUGUGAGAGCAUGAUCAGCCACACGGGCACUGAGACACGGGCCCGACUCCUACGGGAGGCAGCAGUAAGGAAUAUUGGACAAUGGACGAAAGUCUGAUCCAGCCAUGCCGCGUGAAGGAUUAAGGUCCUCUGGAUU
Molecule: ribosomal RNA, 401 nt
Filed under: uncultured bacterium
Lineage: Bacteria
Description: bacterial SSU rRNA
Rfam family: Bacterial small subunit ribosomal RNA
Source: RNAcentral